Long non-coding RNA from Cydia splendana, 193 nucleotides. RefSeq lists it as uncharacterized. NCBI's taxonomy places the organism in Eukaryota, Metazoa, Arthropoda, Insecta, Lepidoptera, Tortricidae. The transcript has 2 exons. The record is from RefSeq and is a predicted model, not a curated record.
AUAUAAUUUUAUAUAAUAUUUUCUCACUACUGAGGUGAAAAGUUGUAUGUGUAACACGAGAGCAAAGUUAUUUUACAUCUCGUGUUUUUAAUCACUCGCUUCGCUCGUGAUUCAAUGAUAGAAUCUUUCGCUUACUCGGGACUCAAAAUAAACACUCGCAAGAAAAACCAACUUUCCUCUCUUGUUGCACAAA